Molecule: long non-coding RNA, 1578 nt
Filed under: Homo sapiens (human)
Lineage: Eukaryota; Metazoa; Chordata; Mammalia; Primates; Hominidae
Description: HSALNT0237416
Source: RNAcentral
GACGACUUUCUCAGCUAAUCUUUACUCAGCCAAAAAAGAGAUAAGCUAUCAACAUUCAUUCUUCUUGGCCCCCAGGAAUAAGCAGUGCCUCCUGGGGUGGCCAGAUACAUGUAUACUGAUCCGUGUCAUCGGAAAGAAGGAGGGGAUCUACUGGAUUCUGAUUUGGGAUCCAAUUCAGAAUGGAUCAUACAGUCAGGGAAGUUAUAAUGCAGUAUAAGUAACGAACGUCUCCAUUCCUAAUGUAAUGUGAAGGCUGCACUGCAUGGGCUCCAAAGUCCCAUCUACCUCUAACCUUCUGGACAUGUGGGUCAAGGAAUAAAAACUCUGGCAGGCAACAAAAAGGAUGGGAAAUGUGACAGGCACAGAGAUGUGCUACUCAGAUCACCCUUCAGGAAAGGACUUGCCUGCCAUCCAGCUGUGUGACGUGUGGGCAGCCGACAGGUUUCAGCUGUUAGAGCCUUUAGGCUCCAUCUCACUCUCGAGCUCAUGGAUUGCUCAGAGCAGAGCUUGGUCAAUAGUGGAACAAGGUGGUGACACCAAGGCUUAGCCCAGUGACUCCUGUGCUGAGCGAUCUUUGCUCCAGAGUUCCCCAUUGGUCUGGCAGAGACUGUCAGGUCUGCAUGAGGGUCUACCCAAUCCAACUUCCCUCCCUUUACUUGUACAGAGUUCCCUCUCUAAGACACCUUUUGUACUUCUAACUCCCUCUUAGGAUCUGCUUCCUGGAGAACCCCCAUGGUGACAGAGGAUGAGUUGCAAACAAAGUGGCAUGCAAUGCAGAAGAGGGUGUGAUGGAUCCAACCACUGGGGGAACUGAGGAAGGUGAAGUCAUGAAGGAAACUGCAUUUGAGUUGACUCUGAAGAUGAACAGGAGUUGAAUGAGUAGGAAAGAAGAAAAUAGGCAUUUCAAGCAGCGGGAUGGACACAUGCACAAAGGCAUGUUAUAAAGAGCAGGAUGUGGGAGCAUGGGUAAUGCAUGGAACCAUGUGGACGUGUGCAGUGGUCGGGGUGGGGGAUGAAGCGGGGAGAUAAAGCUGGGAAAUACGGGAUCCAACAUAAACAGCUGUCACAAACACUCUAUGUAUAUACUCCUAUUGGUUUGUAGACUCUGAUAAAGGGAAAUGGUAGUCCUGGGAGAAGAAUGAGCUGUACAAAGCAAUAAAAUAUGUAGAAUUCCAUAGCAUAGUAUUUUUGACAGCCCUAAAACAGAUAUUUUACUUCUAUGUAGGUGGUUUCCUUGAAAAAAUAGCACCUGCUAUUUGUUAAGGAGAGAAUGAAUUACUUGUCCCAUGGUACAGUUAAAUCAAUCAUAUCAUAACACCAAUCUAUCAUGUAAAAUUCAUCUCUAGGCCCAUGUUUUGAGGAAAGAAAAUGGCAGUUAAUAUUCCUAUUGCUGACUACUUAUUCAAGAGAAGAAAAAGACAUGUUUAUGUGGUUCUAAAAUAACUUCCUUAAGCCCAUUAUCAAAUUCUAACAAGGAAGACCAUCCAUCCUAAGGAAGUUAUUUUAUAAAUCAUAAUUUGCUUUUAUUAAAAAAAAAUUACCAAACUGCAUUCCAAGAAACACAGAGUCCUGUGGGUU